RNAcentral lists this ribosomal RNA (403 nucleotides) under uncultured bacterium. RNAcentral describes it as "partial 16S ribosomal RNA". It matches the Rfam family "Bacterial small subunit ribosomal RNA", at positions 28 to 526 of the family's 1533-position model. The record is from RNAcentral.
GACGAACGCUGGCGGCGUGCCUAAUACAUGCAAGUCGAACGCAGUGGGGACGGGUGAGUAACAAGUGGGUAACCUCCCAUCAGAGGGGAUAACACUUGGAAAAAGGUGCUAAACCGAUACCGGAGGAUGGAGCCGCGGUGCAUUGGCUAGGUGGUGGGGUAACGGCCCACCAGGGCCACGAUGCAUAGCCGACCGGAGAGGGUGAUCGGCCACACGGGAAUUGAGACCCGGCCCAGACUCCUACGGGAGGCAGCAGUAGGGAAUCUUCGGCAAUGGACGAAAGUCUGACCGAGCAACGCCGCGUGAGUGAAGAGGGUUUUCGGAUCGUAAAGCUCUGUUGUUAGGGAAGCGGUAUCUAACCAGAAAGCCACGGCUAACUACGUGCCAGCAGCCGCGGUAAUUC